GUGGGCAUAGCUCAGUGGUAGAGCACAUACUUAGUAUGCACGAGAUCCUGGGUUCAAUCCCCAGCACCUCCA
This 72-nucleotide transfer RNA is filed under the name Camelus bactrianus (Bactrian camel). It matches the Rfam family "tRNA". Rfam says of the family: Transfer RNA (tRNA) molecules are approximately 80 nucleotides in length. Their secondary structure includes four short double-helical elements and three loops (D, anti-codon, and T loops). Lineage: Eukaryota; Metazoa; Chordata; Mammalia; Artiodactyla; Camelidae. RNAcentral also lists the same sequence under 2 other names. The record is from Rfam by way of RNAcentral.